This 497-nucleotide ribosomal RNA is filed under the name uncultured bacterium. RNAcentral describes it as "partial 16S ribosomal RNA". It matches the Rfam family "Bacterial small subunit ribosomal RNA", at positions 28 to 507 of the family's 1533-position model. The record is from RNAcentral.
GAUGAACGCUGGCGGCGUGCCUAAUACAUGCAAGUCGAGCGAACGGACGAGAAGCUUGCUUCUCUGUUGUUAGCGGCGGACGGGUGAGUAACACGUGGAUAACCUACCUAUAAGACUGGGAUAACUUCGGGAAACCGGAGCUAAUACCGGAUAAUAUUUUGAACCGCAUGGUUCAAAAGUGAAAGACGGUCUUGCUGUCACUUAUAGAUGGAUCUGCGCUGCAUUAGCUAGUUGGUAAGGUAACGGCUUACCAAGGCAACGAUGCAUAGCCGACCUGAGAGGGUGGGCAGCCACACUGGAACUGUGACACGGUCCAGACUCCUACGGGAGGCAGCAAUAGGGAAUCUUCCGCAAGGGGCGAAAGCCUGACGGAGCAACGCCGCGUGAGUGAUGAAGGUCUUCGGAUCGUAAAACUCUGUUAUUAGGGAAGAACAUAUGUGUAAGUAACUGUACACAUCUUGACGGUACCUAAUCAGAAAGCCACGGCUAACUACGUG